GAUUGGUGCUUGCAUCAUGAUUUACAUUUGAGUGAGUGGCGAACUGGUGAGUAACACGUGGGAAACCUGCCCAGAAGCGGGGGAUAACACCUGGAAACAGAUGCUAAUACCGCAUAACAACUUGGACCGCAUGGUCCGAGUUUGAAAGAUGGCUUCGGCUAUCACUUUUGGAUGGUCCCGCGGCGUAUUAGCUAGAUGGUGAGGUAACGGCUCACCAUGGCAAUGAUACGUAGCCGACCUGAGAGGGUAAUCGGCCACAUUGGGACUGAGACACGGCCCAAACUCCUACGGGAGGCAGCAGUAGGGAAUCUUCCACAAUGGACGAAAGUCUGAUGGAGCAACGCCGCGUGAGUGAAGAAGGGUUUCGGCUCGUAAAACUCUGUUGUUAAAGAAGAACAUAUCUGAGAGUAACUGUUCAGGUAUUGACGGUAUUUAACCAGAAAGCCACGGCUAACUACGUGCCAGCAGCCGCGGUAAUACGUAGGUGGCAAGCGUUGUCCGGAUUUAUUGGGCGUAAAGCGAGCGCAGGCGGUUUUUUAAGUCUGAUGUGAAAGCCUUCGGCUCAACCGAAGAAGUGCAUCGGAAACUGGGAAACUUGAGUGCAGAAGAGGACAGUGGAACUCCAUGUGUAGCGGUGAAAUGCGUAGAUAUAUGGAAGAACACCAGUGGCGAAGGCGGCUGUCUGGUCUGUAACUGACGCUGAGGCUCGAAAGUAUGGGUAGCAAACAGGAUUAGAUACCCUGGUAGUCCAUACCGUAAACGAUGAAUGCUAAGUGUUGGAGGGUUUCCGCCCUUCAGUGCUGCAGCUAACGCAUUAAGCAUUCCGCCUGGGGAGUACGGCCGCAAGGCUGAAACUCAAAGGAAUUGACGGGGGCCCGCACAAGCGGUGGAGCAUGUGGUUUAAUUCGAAGCUACGCGAAGAACCUUACCAGGUCUUGACAUACUAUGCAAAUCUAAGAGAUUAGACGUUCCCUUCGGGGACAUGGAUACAGGUGGUGCAUGGUUGUCGUCAGCUCGUGUCGUGAGAUGUUGGGUUAAGUCCCGCAACGAGCGCAACCCUUAUUAUCAGUUGCCAGCAUUAAGUUGGGCACUCUGGUGAGACUGCCGGUGACAAACCGGAGGAAGGUGGGGAUGACGUCAAAUCAUCAUGCCCCUUAUGACCUGGGCUACACACGUGCUACAAUGGAUGGUACAACGAGUUGCGAACUCGCGAGAGUAAGCUAAUCUCUUAAAGCCAUUCUCAGUUCGGAUUGUAGGCUGCAACUCGCCUACAUGAAGUCGGAAUCGCUAGUAAUCGCGGAUCAGCAUGCCGCGGUGAAUACGUUCCCGGGCCUUGUACACACCGCCCGUCACACCAUGAGAGUUUGUAACACCCAAAGUCGGUGGG
This 1387-nucleotide ribosomal RNA is filed under the name Lactiplantibacillus plantarum. RNAcentral's name for it is "bacterial SSU rRNA". It matches the Rfam family "Bacterial small subunit ribosomal RNA", at positions 71 to 1434 of the family's 1533-position model. Lineage: Bacteria; Bacillati; Bacillota; Bacilli; Lactobacillales; Lactobacillaceae. The record is from RNAcentral.